This 291-nucleotide ribosomal RNA is filed under the name uncultured Pseudomonas sp. RNAcentral describes it as "partial 16S ribosomal RNA". It matches the Rfam family "Bacterial small subunit ribosomal RNA", at positions 1092 to 1382 of the family's 1533-position model. Lineage: Bacteria; Pseudomonadati; Pseudomonadota; Gammaproteobacteria; Pseudomonadales; Pseudomonadaceae. The record is from RNAcentral.
ACGAGCGCAACCCUUGUCCUUAGUUACCAGCACGUUAUGGUGGGCACUCUGAGGAGACUGCCGGUGACAAACCGGAGGAAGGUGGGGAUGACGUCAAGUCAUCAUGGCCCUUACGGCCUGGGCUACACACGUGCUACAAUGGUCGGUACAAAGGGUUGCCAAGCCGCGAGGUGGAGCUAAUCCCAUAAAACCGAUCGUAGUCCGGAUCGCAGUCUGCAACUCGACUGCGUGAAGUCGGAAUCGCUAGUAAUCGUGAAUCAGAAUGUCACGGUGAAUACGUUCCCGGGCCUU